AAAUCAGCAGGGCUUCCCAGCUGUAAAAGAAAGAAUAAAUUAUUCCAAUAACAUGGAUUAAGAGCUGAAGUUAAACCACUCUACCUCUACUGAUUUCAAUUGAUUUACACCUGGGAUUAAUAGGCUAUUGAUGUUUGCAUUUCAAGUAUACAUACCAGACCGUGACUUCAAAACAAAACCUUCCAGUUAACAAAGAAAGCAGAAACAAAACAACCUUGCUUGUAGAGCUGAGAAGAGUGGGACAGAAGGACAAUACAUCCCAAGCACACAAGGGAGGGGGGAAGCCUGGGAGAAGAGUCUUAAUGAGAAAGCCUCCAAGAUCCCAGCAACCUGAGCUCCCGGGACCAAGCUGAGUUACCAGCAGCCAAGCCUUCACCUCUACCACAGCCCAGGAGCUCUGCUGGGCUCUGCACAAGUUUUAUCCCUUCCAGGGAGCUCUAAAAAGUUUCAAGAAAACAGAAGGGAGAUGGAACUGUUAGUUUUUGUGUGGAUAAUUUUUUAAUUCCUAUAGAUCGUGGAGGUCUAAAAAAUGCACUUUUCAUUCCCAUUUUGAAAGAUUUUCCUUUUUAUUUUAUGAUUACCCUUAUAACGUAGCUCUUGGCCUUGUAAAUCCAGUUGUUAAAUGUGGCACAAGAGUGGACUCUCUAUUUGCUAAAAACAAGGAUGUCUAAGAAAUACUGACACUCCAACCUUAUUCCACAGGGUUCAUUUUCAUACAGCGUUGUCACAUUCAGGAAAAUCAUCCUUUUCAAUUUCACAGCAGAUUUCUCUUUACUAGAAUAGUUUUGUCACUGUUAAAUCAAUCCAAAAUACACUGAAAAUUCUGAAAAUUAUAGGAUUUAUCCUGUCCUAAUUCGAUCUUGCUGUUUCUAUUACUUGCUCUAGCAACCGUGGUAGCAGACUUAUAAACCUGGUGUAUGCAUUCUACUCAGAACAACCAAUUCCCAUCCACGCAAAUUAUUAGGUAGAAGACAGACUUCAUUGGUAGAGAUUACAGCUUAAACAGACAUACAUUAUCUACAGAGGAAAAAAGAAAAUGAUUUCCCUACUGAAAAUUGACAAAGUGUAUUAUGUUCUUGCUUAGUGACAACUUCUUUCACUUGGAAAAGUAGUAAAUGUAUGCUGUAAAUGUAUAUUAUUAAAAGUCACAUGGCCCUGGAAGUGACUAUCUGAAAGAGAUUAGGGACGUCAGAAAAAAUCAGGCAUCUGAGGAAGAGAGAGCAUUACCGUACACAAGCACAGGGAUGAAUGAGGCAAAAGAGAGCUAGAGCAAGUGUUAAGCAGAAGAGAGUGGGACAUCAAAACAGAAAACUAGAGCUAGAUUAAGACAAAAGAAAGAGUAUUUAUUGAAAAUAUUUUUAUGAGAUUUUUUUUUCUGUGUUUUUUUUUUUUUCUUUUUUCUUCCUGUUCAGGCCACUUACUUUCUUUAUCAAAAGAAGUGGGGAAAACAUACAAAUAUUCUAGGUUCUUUCUACUGCAGUUAUUUCUGAUUUGAUAGAGAAAGGUAUGCCAUUUUUUUCCAGCAUACUACUAAAUAAUACUUAGCUAUCCAUCUAUCUAUCUUUUAUGUAGCUCUUGGUUACAGAAUUGGCAAAAUUUUCUCUUCUUUCUUACAAAGGCUCACUUUUUAAAAUCUCAAUUUCUGUUAUCUGAUUUCCUUUGAAAAUAGAAUUCCAGUUCUUUUUACAGCUCCCUAAAAUAUUUGUUAUGAAGUCAAAACAUCUGCAAGCCAUUUCACAUCUUUUCAACAUAAGGCAACUCAAUGCUUAGAACAAUAUAACAGGUUAAUACUAUUAAUUUGGCCCAGCACUACAAAUGCCAUAGUGGGACAUGUCAGCCCAGUAAUACUCAACUAUGUGUUAAAUGGAAACGUGUAAGUUCAACUGACCCCCACACGUGCAGAUGAAGAUGGGUUAAGAUUUGAGAUCUGAUUAAAGAAUAGCAUUUACUUUCAGAAGAGGCUCUGAAAGGUCACUUAAGCAGGAGGUCCCAGAAUACAACUUGAAGAUGAAGCUAGUAAAUACAGACUUUGUGAUGUGAGUGAUACCUAAGCUUUUCCUUCCUCUCUUUCCCCCCAUAACAUACAAAACCCAUUGCCACAGGGUAGUCUGACUGCUUCUCUCUGGCCAUCUUCUGCACUGGCUGAGGUGGAAGCUCAGCAGACAAGGUGAUGCAAUGCUGCAGCAGUGCUUGGGCUCUGCCUCCCAGCAGAGGCUUGUACUCAAAAGGACUGUGCUACAAAAGAAAUUCCCCAAACAGUAGCUACAUAGUAACAUUUUAUCACUGUAGUGUAAAACACAUGCUGCUGCUGCUACAAAUAUAGUACCGUUUUGCGGUUUUGUUUUGAAAGAUUAAAGCUAUGAAAACACUGGAAAGGGCAGAAGUAAAGAGGUGACUGAAAGGCUACAAGACUUCAAAUGAUGGCAAGUAGGGACGUAGAAUGAGGGCAUGGUGAAACUCAGCUGUGACAGAAAAAUGGUAGGCCAUUGAGCCAUGCAAUAUAAUAUCUGCAUUCAAACAAUCCUACACCUAAUCUGCAAGGCUGAAAUGCAGCACUUAAAAAAAAAAAAAAAAA
This is a non-coding RNA of Anas platyrhynchos (mallard), 2575 nucleotides long. NCBI's taxonomy places the organism in Eukaryota, Metazoa, Chordata, Aves, Anseriformes, Anatidae. The record is from RefSeq and is a predicted model, not a curated record.